AAAACAUGCAUCAUUACUGAUAAAUGAAAAAAUUACAAUUAAACGUUUGAGAAAUGUUUGAUAAUGUCAUCCUUAUAUCUCUUUGUAGGUUUGAUUGCUUGGCUCACCUGAAUGUGAAUCCUAAUGCUGAUGUAGGACAAAUGCAGGAUGAAUUCACUGAGAUACUCGCCAAGCGUUACAAAAUUGACCACUAUGAAAUAAAAACAGAUGCUAACUUUAUCUUCAUAUAUCCUCUUGGUUUUUAAUCUUUAGAUGAUCUCUUGCCGGACCCAGACACAAACCCACCCUUAACCGCGACUGAGUCUCUGCCUCGUACAACUGAAACACGAACAACCACAAUUCCUCAGCUGACGUCUACAACUACUGAAAUUAUUACUACUGCAAAAACAACAGGCACAACACCCAAUCAAGUGGCAAUAACAACAGAAGUUGUUUCAUCCUCAACGGAAACAAAAAAAAUCACUACAUCCACACCAUUCAUGGAAACAACCCUGGCAGGAAGUUCCACGACUUUUUUAUCCUCCACAAGAAGUCUUACAUUAAAUACAGCCGCAUGCUCUUCUACUAUUUCAACUGAAGGAAACAUAUCAGAAAGUUAUUUCAGUGUCAAUGUCAAUGUGACUAUCAAUGGCUCUGGUGACCCUGAGAACAUAAUUACAACCUGGCUUCAUGAAACUCUUUCAAGUAAAGGGAUACAUGUUUUGCACUUCAAACUCUUGACUUCCUCAACACAUGCACGAAAACGAAGUGUGGUAACAAAAACAUUCAAAGUGGAUAGAAAGCGGUCUCUGCUUUCAGUAACCAGGUGAGAUGAUCAUUACAAGACAGCAGUUGAAGAAAAGUUAACAAUGGUGAACAAUAAUUGUUGUGAACAUACAAUGUGUUUUAAUGGGGUUAUCUGAUAUGGCUUGUUCCCAGCCAUAGCUGUGGCUUUCAUGCCCAGGUAACAACUUCUUCAGACAUCAGAGAGACAGAAAAAUGGAUUCAUGGGCUUCUGGAGAAACAAUACACCAAUGGAGCAGUACUCUUAUAUGCCCA
This 1038-nucleotide long non-coding RNA is filed under the name Sinocyclocheilus grahami. RNAcentral describes it as "lncRNA (ENSSGRG00000051486.1)". The record is from RNAcentral. Lineage: Eukaryota; Metazoa; Chordata; Actinopteri; Cypriniformes; Cyprinidae.